This 244-nucleotide long non-coding RNA is filed under the name Setaria italica (foxtail millet). Its description in RNAcentral is "long non-coding RNA (SITA_LNC005890)". Lineage: Eukaryota; Viridiplantae; Streptophyta; Magnoliopsida; Poales; Poaceae. The record is from RNAcentral.
CCGGACCGUUGGAGAACGCUAACAUUUUUACAGAUCAAGGCAAGUCCCGGUGCAUUUAAGCCUAUCUACUUUUGGAGUUAUUAUUUCAUGUGUCCAAAUAUUGGUUAUUUUUUUAUGAAUGCAUUAAGUCUAGGAGUUGAUUGAAAACUUACUUUUAUGCAUAAUCAAACCUUGUUACUAAGGACAUCUUUGCCACUUGUUCAAUAAUUAGUAAGUAUCCCAUGCUUAGCAAAGCAUAGUCGCA